CCAGCCGCGCCGCCGGGCUCAGCCAGGUCCAGGAAGGCCUGACGCAGCAGUGCCGGGCUUUCGCCGAGCGCGCAGCCCAGCGCUGAGGGCGGCUGAGGCGGGGGCUGCAGUUUGAACAAGUCUCCUGCUGAUCCUUUGUGGAGUCCUUGCCAGUCCCUGUCCUGGCCCCUGGGACACUGUCAGGCUCAGGGAGGAGUCGGCGGCGGCGAGAGGAGGCUGGUUGAGCCCGAGUUAAUCAAUGCUUUCCUCUUCGAACUGACGUGCAUUUUACACGUCGGGACUCUCCUCAGCCGGCUAAUUGAUUCAAAUUGUUUUAUUGGUUAAACUGGUGUCACCCAUUUUCAUGAUCUAUCACCACAUGGAGGAGAGCAUUUCCACUCCUAUCUCCGUUCCGAGCGGCUGCGGUUCACCCAGGCCAAGGACAGGUAAAGGAGCCCAGACGCGGGACCCAGAGGAAAACCACAAACCGAGCUGGCCUCCUCAUAACUGGAGAGGCGACGCCUGGAAGCAAGAGCAGGAGGCCAGCACAGCAGCGCAUAUGAGCUUCCAGCUACAAAUUUAAACAACUGGUUGAAGCGAACCCACACUCAGCCGGACCUGGGCCCAGCUUCCUCCACUUGGGACUAAGUCGGUUUCCGAGCCGGCGGUGAACUCUGCGGGAUAUGAGACCACAACAAAACCCGGGAUGGGAACUGUCCGCGGUGCUGACGAGAUGCAUCGUUCUAAAGCACAGCGAAUCCUACUGCGUUCAAGGUCGGGAGGAAGCCUCCCAGCCUGUAAUCGAGCCCUAGAUUCGGCUCUGGGUGGGCUCGAGCAGAGCCUCAUAGACUUAAGAGGCGGGCAAGGGGCAACACAGAGCCACACCCCCUACUUCUCCCACACCUGCCCCAUCUCCAAGGACUGAGCAAUCCAGCUUCCUCAACCUCACCCCCUUCCUUGCAUUGACAGCAAGGAAAAUAAAAGCCUCGAUAAAAAUUCA
This is a non-coding RNA of Macaca mulatta (Rhesus monkey), 979 nucleotides long. Lineage: Eukaryota; Metazoa; Chordata; Mammalia; Primates; Cercopithecidae. The record is from RefSeq and is a predicted model, not a curated record.